UCAGAGACUAUUGGAUCUCUAACAAACACACAAAGUCUCUAAGAAGAAGGAUUGCUAAAUGUGAAAUCUGUCUUAAAGGACCUGCUUCAAAAAUGUGCUCUCUCUGAAUAUGAGAGAUAUUGAAGGAGGACACAUGAAGAGAGCUUGUAGCGCUGAUUAUGUGACUAUCGAACGAAACCUUAACCAAUCAACCAAGUUUCCAGAAAGAGUUUUCUAGGAACUGCAUGGUUCAAUUUGGAUAGACAAAAAGGAAUGAAGGAGGACAAUUUGGACAAGCACUGUUUUCAGCAAUAAUCUUACAUAUGAGG
This is a long non-coding RNA of Neofelis nebulosa (Clouded leopard), 308 nucleotides long. RefSeq lists it as uncharacterized. The transcript has 3 exons. The record is from RefSeq and is a predicted model, not a curated record. Lineage: Eukaryota; Metazoa; Chordata; Mammalia; Carnivora; Felidae.